CCUACGGGAGGCAGCAGUGAGGAAUAUUGGUCAAUGGACGAGAGUCUGAACCAGCCAAGUAGCGUGAAGGAUGACUGCCCUAUGGGUUGUAAACUUCUUUUAUAAAGGAAUAAAACGAGGCACGUGUGCUUUUUUGCAUGUACCUUAUGAAUAAGGAUCGGCUAACUCCGUGCCAGCAGCCGCGGUAAUACGGAGGAUCCGAGCGUUAUCCGGAUUUAUUGGGUUUAAAGGGAGCGUAGAUGGGUUGUUAAGUCAGUUGUGAAAGUUUGCGGCUCAACCGUAAAAUUGCAAUUGAUACUGGCAGUCUUGAGGACAGGUGAGGUAGGCGGAAUUCGUGGUGUAGCGGUGAAAGGCUUAGAUAUCACGAAGAACCCCGAUUGCGAAGGCAGCUUACUGAACUGUGACUGACAUUGAUGCGCGAAAGGGUGGGGAGCAAACAGGAUUAGAUACCCGGGUAGUC
This 460-nucleotide ribosomal RNA is filed under the name uncultured bacterium. RNAcentral describes it as "partial 16S ribosomal RNA". It matches the Rfam family "Bacterial small subunit ribosomal RNA", at positions 338 to 795 of the family's 1533-position model. The record is from RNAcentral.